GGCGAGGGGAGUGAAAAAGAACCUGAAACCGUGUACGUACAAGCAGUGGGAGCACAGGUUUACCUGUGUGACUGCGUACCUUUUGUAUAAUGGGUCAGCGACUUAUAUUCUGUAGCAAGGUUAACCGAAUAGGGGAGCCGGAGGGAAACCGAGUCUUAACCGGGCGUUAAGUUGCAGGGUAUAGACCCGAAACCCGGUGAUCUAGCCAUGGGCAGGUUGAAGGUUGGGUAACACUAACUGGAGGACCGAACCGACUAAUGUUGAAAAA
Molecule: ribosomal RNA, 268 nt
Filed under: Salmonella enterica subsp. enterica serovar Mbandaka
Lineage: Bacteria; Pseudomonadati; Pseudomonadota; Gammaproteobacteria; Enterobacterales; Enterobacteriaceae
Also listed under: 2 other names
Description: partial 23S ribosomal RNA
Rfam family: Bacterial large subunit ribosomal RNA
Source: RNAcentral